CCUCCCCAGUGAGGUGGGAAUCCACACAAACACGCCUGCCUUUAAAACAAGAAAGGGGACGUAUGACUGCUGUAAGAUCAAUUCGAAACGGGACAGGACAAGCCGUUGUCUUGUUAUAAGUUUUUGGUUUGCCUUCACUUUUCUUUGAAUAUCAUUCGUUACUAACCCGCUACCUCAGUUAAAAAUGUACAGAUAUUUCGGAGAAUUACUUACUCGUGGUGCAAGCAGUGCUCUGGCCUCGGGAUGUGUUGAGUCGGCUCUUCCAGUUACCGCGUCAUUGAUGAGGGUGCGCCACUACAGCGAGGUCGUGGGAGAGAAAGAUGCAGAUGACCCCAACUUCUUUAAAAUGGUGGAGGGAUUCUUUGACCGCGGUGCUAAUAUUGUUGAGGACAAACUGGUGGAGGACCUCAAGAACAAGGAGACGCCAGUGCAGAAGAGACACAGAGUUCGCGGAAUUCUCAAGAUUAUCAAGCCCUGCAACCAUAUACUGAGUGUAUCGUUCCCCAUCAAGCGAGACAACGGCGAAUGGGAGGUGAUUGAGGGGUAUCGUGCCCAGCACAGCCAACACAGGACCCCCUGUAAAGGAGGUAUCCGCUACAGCACCGAGGUGUCGGUCGAUGAGGUGAAAGCCCUGGCCUCGCUGAUGACAUACAAAUGUGCUGUCGUGGAUGUUCCAUUUGGAGGAGCCAAAGCUGGAGUGAAGAUCAAUGUAAAGAAUUACACUGACAAUGAACUGGAGAAAAUCACCAGAAGAUUCACCAUUGAGCUGGCCAAAAAGGGUUUUAUUGGACCUGGCAUUGAUGUCCCUGCCCCUGAUAUGAGCACUGGAGAGAGGGAAAUGUCCUGGAUUGCUGACACCUAUGCCAACACCAUGGGCCACCAUGACAUCAACGCUCAUGCCUGUGUGACUGGUAAGCCCAUCAGCCAGGGUGGCAUCCACGGAAGGAUCUCGGCCACCGGGCGAGGAGUAUUCCACGGCAUUGAGAACUUCAUCAACGAGGCGGCCUACAUGAGCCAGCUGGGCCUGAGCCCUGGCUUCACCGACAAGACCUUUGUCAUUCAGGGUUUUGGUAACGUUGGCAUGCACUCCAUGCGUUACCUACACCGUUUCGGGGCCAAGUGUGUUGGUGUUGGAGAGAUGGAUGGAAACAUCUGGAACCCCAAUGGCAUCGACCCCAAGGAGCUGGAGGACUACAAGCUGCAACACGGCACCAUCGUGGGCUUCCCCAACUCCACGCCAUACGAAGGCAGCAUCCUGGAGGCCGACUGUGACAUCCUGAUCCCGGCCGCCAGCGAGAAGCAACUGACCAGGAAUAACGCCCACAAAAUCAAGGCCAAGAUCAUUGCUGAAGGAGCCAAUGGACCCACCACCCCUGACGCUGAUAAGAUCUUCCUGGAGAGGAAUAUCAUGGUGAUUCCGGACAUGUACCUGAACGCUGGUGGAGUGACUGUCUCCUACUUUGAGUGGCUGAAGAACCUCAACCAUGUCAGCUACGGUAGACUGACCUUCAAGUAUGAGAGGGACUCCAACUACCACCUGCUCAUGUCCGUCCAGGAGAGUCUGGAGAGGAAGUUUGGGAAGCAUGGGGGAGCAAUCCCAGUGGUCCCUACCUCUGAGUUCCAGGCCAGGAUCGCUGGCGCUUCAGAGAAGGACAUUGUGCACUCAGGACUGGCCUACACCAUGGAGAGGUCUGCCAGGCAAAUCAUGCGCACAGCUAACAAGUACAACCUGGGCCUCGACCUGAGGACGGCAGCGUACGUCAACGCCAUCGAGAAGGUCUUCAAGGUGUACAACGAGGCUGGUCUUACCUUCACAUAGGUGGCACCUCCACAGCCUCUGUCCAUCCGAGCAGACCCAGGGCCCCGCCUCUCCCAGCCUCCAAGCAACCUUUAUAAAAUCUUUAUAUAACGUUCACGCGUUUACAUUUUACACAUGACCGUUAGCUUUACUCUUUGCAUAUGUAUUUCAAGCAAAUCAAUACACAUUAUUUUGCAUUCUCAUAUUAUCAAGAGACCACAUGUUCUAGUUUGCUUUGAAUCUGCUGUUAUGAAACUACUGUGCCUAUGGUUAUUUUUUUUGCCUGUAGUCAUUCCAUCGAUUGAAUUGCUGUUACUAUAUUAUUAUGCCAGGUAACACCAAAAACUCUGGUCUGCAGCUUUUACAGGCUAGUUCUUUUCUGAAUUAGUGCUGUGCUUGUUCAGUGUCUGUUACGGACAUACUGUUACUUCACUGACAGAGUUGAAGAAGUUGGUUAACAGAAUGUAGAGCAGUGACACACGUAAAGCCUUAAUUUAUCCUGUGUUGAAGUGGAGUAGGUUAAUCAUUUUUAUCUGUACCAGAAUGUUUUUUCUAUUUAAGGUCAGUCUUCUUACAGUAUAAAGCAGUGUCUACACUUCAGGGUGAUAAAAUGUGUUAGUAAGCAGAUUUAUUAUGUUACUCUGUUGACAUGACACUAAAAGGAUCAAUUCCAGAAGAUUGUUCUCUGUUGUUACUGGUGUUUGCUUGGGCAGCCACAGUUUGUUUGAGUGUCUUUCUCUGUGUUUUUGCCUUUGUUUAAUUCUUUGUCUCGGCUCAGAACUUGAUCAAGGUUGGUUUGCCUUUGUUUAAUUCUUUGUCUCGGCUCAGAACUUGAUCAAGGUCGGUGUGGUUUUUGUGCUGAAUCCUUAGGGCUAAUGGAAGGGGAGAAUAUGUGGGAACAACAUUUUUCUUUUUCUUUAUAUCAGCCUUUGACUGCUUCAGGAUUCUAUGUAACAUCAUUUGUAUAGCCUUUUCAUUGAAGAAUUCAUUAAACUACAAAACGAUUGAUUGUGUUGAUUCAAACCAAACUAUGAUUCCCUAUGGGGUAUGUACAAGAUUUUUCCAUGUAAGCAAAUCCUGUUUAUUUUGUAUAUCAACAGCUAGUUAUUGGCUGCAUAAUCCCCACUGUACCUAUUUCAUCCAACACUACAACCUCUACAGAAUGGGUGUCCCGAUACCGGGACGGUUGUUGUUAACGUGCGCUAAUGUGACUAUAAUGACGUAAGUAACAGCCAACUUUCCAGGACAUAGACUUGUCUUAUAUGGGCAGAAAGUUGAAAUUCUUGUUAAUCUUACUGAAGUGUCUUAAUUUACUGUAGCUAUUGCAGUGAAAAAUGGCAUGCUAUUGUUUGAGAGUGCACAAUAAACUUUUUUAUCUCGG
Molecule: non-coding RNA, 3179 nt
Organism: Oncorhynchus mykiss (rainbow trout)
Lineage: Eukaryota; Metazoa; Chordata; Actinopteri; Salmoniformes; Salmonidae
Source: RefSeq, a predicted model, not a curated record